This 433-nucleotide ribosomal RNA is filed under the name uncultured bacterium. RNAcentral describes it as "partial 16S ribosomal RNA". It matches the Rfam family "Bacterial small subunit ribosomal RNA", at positions 29 to 507 of the family's 1533-position model. The record is from RNAcentral.
AACGAACGCUGGCGGCAGGCCUAACACAUGCAAGUCGAGCGCGCCCUUCGGGGUGAGCGGCGGGCGGGUGAGUAACGCGUGGGAACGUGCCCUUUUCUACGGAAUAGCCUCGGGAAACUGAGAGUAAUACCGUAUACGCCCUUUGGGGGAAAGAUUUAUCGGAAAAGGAUCGGCCCGCGUUGGAUUAGGUAGUUGGUGGGGUAAUGGCCUACCAAGCCGACGAUCCAUAGCUGGUUUGAGAGGAUGAUCAGCCACACUGGGACUGAGACACGGCCCAGACUCCUACGGGAGGCAGCAGUGGGGAAUCUUAGACAAUGGGGGCAACCCUGAUCUAGCCAUGCCGCGUGAGUGAUGAAGGCCUUAGGGUUGUAAAGCUCUUUCAGCUGGGAAGAUAAUGACGGUACCAGCAGAAGAAGCCCCGGCUAACUCCGUG